Molecule: RNA transcript, 4399 nt
Organism: Brachypodium distachyon (stiff brome)
Lineage: Eukaryota; Viridiplantae; Streptophyta; Magnoliopsida; Poales; Poaceae
Exons: 2
Source: RefSeq, a predicted model, not a curated record
AAUUCCUGCUCUCGAUCCCCUUGAGCCUGGCACUUCCCCUUUCCCCUAUCUCCUGCGGCACCACCGGCCGCCGCCGCAGCCAGGCCAGCGUGGCGGCACGCCACCGAGCUAGCUGCAGCCCCUUCCCGAGAUCCACUACUACUCCUCCUCCAUACCGCCUCUGCCGGCAGCGGGCUGCACGAAUCAUCUCCAUCAACACCUGCUGCUCCCCCACGCACCGAAGAAAUCAAGAACCAAGGAACGCGAGCACGACGACCACCUGCAACAUCCUCCCCUUCUCCAAGUGCUGCUGCCCUCUCCUUUGGUUAAAUCCCCACCGAACUCUCUCUCUCUCUCUCCUACUUGUUGCUUGCUGUUUGUGUGUACAAGAACUGAGAAAGAACAUGCUGUUGAUCUUUGGAAAGUUAGCUGAGCCUUGCACUGUGUUAAACUCUCUCUUUAGCUUCUGGCCGAUGUGUGCACUUAAUUAUUGUUCUAUGUUAUAAUCUACUCUGAUAUUUGUGAAUGUGGCUGUGUGUAUACUUGUUGAUGUGUUUCGUGCAAUUUUCUAUCCCUAUCUAAAAACUUGCUUCUUCCCAGUCUUAUAUGUUUGCUGGUGAAAUUACUUUCUGUCAAUAUUGUUCUUUGUCUUUGCUUCUGCCCCUGUCUUUGAUGUAUGCUUGUCUUAGUGUUUUAGAUUCUAAAGUAAAUUGAAAAUACCAAAAAAAUAUUGCAGUCAUUCUGUACCUUGAAUCUCAUAAUUGUUUCUAUCCUUAUCUUGGAUAAUUGCUUGUGAUGUUUCGUGGUAGAUGAUCUUGUCUUGCUUUAUAGUGGGAAAUCUUCUCUUUGUUUGUUUUAAAUGCCAAAAUCCUUUCUUGUGAUCUAGCUUUAACCGAACAUUGUUGUCGCUGCCUAGUGCCUGUGGAGAAUCUCAACAAAAACUACUAUAUUUGCAUUGAUCAAAUUGGCGCCGUUGCCGGGGACUAGCAGCGAGCGAUUGUGUUAGGUUAUAGACUAGGUGUUUUUCCCCUUGUUUAGUAACCCCUAUUCUAGGUGUUUCUCUGUUUUCUAUUUGUUUCUUGUCAUAUUUAACAGGUUAUAUUAUCAUCUUGGUCAUGUCAUACUAUUCAGAUUAUUAUGGAUAUGCGAGCAGUAGCGGCAACAACAUAACAAGUCUUCAAGAUAAGAUAAAUGAGUUGUCUGGUCAGAAGCAAAUGUUAUCAAGUAAAAUAGAACAACACAAUUUGCAGCAAGGAAAUGGUCUUCAGGGAGGCCCUGCUAUUUUGAUCCUUAUUCUGUAGGCCAUCCCCAUACUUAUGUUGCUCCUGAAUGUCAUAUUUGUGGAUAUCAAGGUCAUAUUCCCGUCGAGUGUCAGCUGGCUAUCCUAUGCAGGGAUUUAGGAAUGAAGAGGCGAAGUCACAAGCUCAGUUAAAUUUUGAAGCAGAACAACAAGCUUGGUUUGAAGAUUUUAUGAAGACGCAGCAAGAGAAGAUGGUUCAUCCACAAUCAGCUAUACUUUCAGAUGUAGAUCAAGAACAUGUGAUUUCAGAAAAUGAAGAAAAAGUUGCUCAGAUUUGGGAAGAAGAGAGAUCCGAGAUUAAAGAAGAUGAUGCACUAGAAGACAAGACACACAAUGAGCAAGAGCUGGACUAUGGAAGUAGCAAAGAUAUAGUGGCUGCCAAUCUUGAAGAUAUUGAAGAUAAAGAGGCUAAUGGAGUGGAAAAUGAAGAUAAUGAGGAGAUUCAAGUCGACAUGUCAAUUAUCAUUCAGGAGUGUGAUGAAACAGGUUUAUCAAACCCAAUUAAUGACAUUCUUCCUUAUGAAUUCCCUGCUACUACCUUGCAUUGCUUGAUACCAUCACUUAAGGUAGAACUGAAUUGUGACUUUCUUAAAUUUGAUGAUGCAUACUUUGUUAGUGACAAUACUGAAAUUCAUGAUGAUGACUCAUGUUAAUCACAUGCUAAAAUUCUGCUUAUGGAUGCAUGCUCUAAGAUUACUCGCGUCUCACAUGUGAAUAUUUAUCAUUCUCACCUUGUGCUUUAUUGCUACGCUUACAUCAUUGGUUUUUCAAUUGAUGACUUAGAGGGUGUUGGUCCUUUGACCUCUCCUAGGUGCUAUUCAUAUGAUAUAACUGAGUUUAAUGUGAUAUAUCAUCAUCGCCAUGUUUUUUAUCGAUAUGUGUAUACCAUUGGAUACUCCAUUGAUAAUUUGGAGGGGGUUGACCCUGUCUCUUUUAGUUCUUGUUGUGAGUGUAUUUCAGGCAUAUCAUAGGUGCUUUGUCAGCUUGGAAAAGUCCAGAUUCGAGUUGACAUUCCUUGGGACCCUGGUGGAUAUGAGGUUUUGAGAUGGUGUAGCAAAGAGAGUUGUAUCACACUUGAAAUAAAAUGCUGAAGCAGAUGGGAUCGAGGGAAUCAAGAAGAGUUGUCGAAUUCAGAAGAUGAGUGGCUUGGUCUGAAGGGAAGGUGUAGUCUGAUAAAAAUAUAGUUCAAAUCAUCUAAAACACCAGGUGACUUGUUUCCAGUAUAUGAGAUCAUGUUUCUUCCAUUGCCUGCAACUUUUCUCAAACUGAUCACUGCUAUUCGUUAUUGGUCACAUCAUUGCUUUCUUGUUGAAGCUGUUCUUCUUUGAGAAUCACAUAACAUUGCUUUAACUUGUUGUUUUCUUACCGAAAAAAAAAGCUGCAUUAAUUUUUUUUGUGAUUGCUAUACUCCAGGAUCUUCAUAAUGAAAAGAUACAUCAACUUUCAGUUUAAACACAACAGCUAUUGGUGCAUGUUCUUAUUGCAGUAAUCUAAAGUAUACUUCAGAUUUGUUUUAUUUUCUGCUCUCAUUCCUAAUAAAUUAAGAUUCUGACAAAUCUGAAUGUCUCCUUAUGCUAGUUAGUCCUGUAUCGACUCAAUUGAUUAGUUGCUAAGUAGUAGCUAUGAUCCCGGGAUCUGUAGCUUGUGAAAACAGUGCUAUUGAUCAUAGGUUUCUUUACAAAAUCUUUUAUCCUGUUGCAAUUUGAGCUUUCAAUAAGUGGCUUGUCCACAAGUCUUUAAAUCUCUGAAUAAGUGGCUCAGCCACAGUGUUAUCCUUGCAAAUAAGUGACUAUGUCACAAUUUGUUUCAAUAAGUGGCAGUCCACAUUGCCUUGCUCUGUUUGAAUAAGUGACUCUGUCACAUCUUUAGUUUGGAAUAAGUGGUGCAAGCACCACAAUUUAUUGCAUUUCUUGUUUCGUUUUUAUUUUUGAAAAACCAUGAACCGUGACUCGUUACUGGACUGCUGUCAUAGUUUGAAUUCAGUUUGCAAAAUCUUCUUUAUUAGUUAGGGGAGCCUAAAAUAGUUUAAAUCUUCAGUAUACUUUGAGUACAAUAAUCAGAACAUACAGCUUUACCUGUUAAGUUUAAACUGAAGUUUCUUGGGUCCUUUUUAUUGUGACGGAAAUCCUAGUUGGAGUGAUUACAUACCUCGUUUCAUGCUGUUGUCUCAUUUGCGAUCUGUUUCCUCAUUUGCAUAUCUCUUUGCUUGAGGACAAGCAAAAGUUUAAGUGUGGGGGUGUGAUAAGCAUCAUAUUUGCACUAUUUUCUGGCCAUAAUUAUAUCUGAAAUCUUGUGUUUUGAACUCUGAAUUAUUCUAAAAUGCCAAGAAUUUAUACAAAUACUUGUAAUAUGUGGCAAAAAUUACAUUGUAGCUUUUCUUUUGCAGUUAAGUGCGAAAAGGCACAUACUCUUCUCAUUUUGGACGAGCUGCUGAUGCACCUAUACACCGAAGGACUUGAGCAUAAGGAAAGAGGAAAGAAAGGGCUGAAGUGAAGAAAAAAAAGACCAACUUGCAAAAGAAGAAGAAAGGAGAAGGGCCUGGAUGUAAAAAUGUCAAAGGGAUUAAACCCUAACUCCUGCUCUCGAUCCCCUUGAGCCUGGCACUUCCCCUUUCCCCUAUCUCCUGCUGCACCACCGGCCGCCGCCGCAGCCAGGCUAGCGUGGCGGUGCACCACCGAGCUAGCUGCAGCCCCUUCCCGAUAUCCACUACUGCUCAUCCUCCAUACCGCCUCUGCCAACAGCGGGCUGCACGAAUCCUCUCCAUCAACACCUGUUGCUCCCCACUCACCGAAGAAAUCAACAGCCAAGGAACGCGAGCACGACGACCACCUGCAACAUCCUCCCCUUCUCCAAGUGCUGCUGCCCUCUCCUUUGGUUAAAUCCCCACCGAACUCUCUCUCUCUCUCUCUCUCUCUCCUACUUGUUGCUUGCUGUUUGUGUGUAUAAGAACUAAGAAAAAACAUGCUGUUGAUCUUUGGAAAGUUAGUUGAGCCUUGCAUUGUGUUAAACUCUCUCUUUAGCUUCUGGCCGAUGUGUGCACUUAAUUAUUGUUCUAUGUUAUAAGACUCGUAACCUGUUUGUUCAUAUGUCAGGGAAGAUCUUUGAGUUGUUCUACUCUAA